AACUAAUUCAAAAAAGUAGUAACACAGCCAUGUAGAAACACCAGAGUCAAUAAAGAGUUUUCGGAUUACGCCAUCAGUACAAUGUUAACACACCCCUUUCUUGUUUGCGUGUCUCGAGUAGCCUGGUAAUUGUAGAUUCUUGACUAUUAUGAUCAUUUACGGCAUACAUAAAAGAGACUUUAGCAUGGUCCAUUUAAGAUCGAGACUUCCCUGUUUGGAUCUUAACAGACAGAGGAGUGCCUCGUUUUCUACGAUCGACUAGUUUUUAUUGUCUCUUAUGAAGGGCCGUUGUCGGCUUGGUACGAUAUUUGUUGGUCCUAGCCAUCAUGAUCUAUUCCUAACGAUAUGUUAUUAGGACGGCGACGCUGGAUACAUAACGCAUUUUCCUAUGGUUCGUGGCUGUGCUGUGUCCUACACAUAUCGUGAUAAGAUCUGCAGAGGAUUGCCAAUAAUUGUCUCCUUGAGGGACGAUUUUCCCCGAUGAGGGCGACUACGGUAUAGAACUUGUGAGUAUGAAAUACUUAAAAUACAUUUCUCAAUUCAUUAUACCGUGCUUUGGGACUCAGUAGUGUAUCGUUUUAUUUUUCUGAUCAUUUCAAAAUUCUUCAUCUAGUAAAAAGCUCGCUACGCUAUAUCGCGACCGUAGUCACUAACAUCACAAUGGUCAUCAUCCUUAUCAGAUGACGUACAAGCUGUGAAAAGAAGACGUAAGAACGUUGUAAAAAAAUCGAUGGA
Strongylocentrotus purpuratus (purple sea urchin) is the source of this 735-nucleotide long non-coding RNA. RefSeq lists it as uncharacterized. The record is from RefSeq and is a predicted model, not a curated record. The transcript has 2 exons. NCBI's taxonomy places the organism in Eukaryota, Metazoa, Echinodermata, Echinoidea, Camarodonta, Strongylocentrotidae.